RNAcentral lists this ribosomal RNA (458 nucleotides) under uncultured Pelotomaculum sp. RNAcentral describes it as "bacterial SSU rRNA". It matches the Rfam family "Bacterial small subunit ribosomal RNA", at positions 923 to 1382 of the family's 1533-position model. The record is from RNAcentral. Lineage: Bacteria; Bacillati; Bacillota; Clostridia; Eubacteriales; Desulfotomaculaceae.
GCACAAGCGGUGGAGCAUGUGGUUAAUUCGACGCAACGCGAAGACUUACCAGGCUUGACAUCCCCUGACCGCGUAUGAAAGUACGUUUUCACCCUCGGGUGACAGGGAGACAGGUGGUGCAUGGUUGUCGUCAGCUCGUGUCGUGAGAUGUUGGGUUAAGUCCCGCAACGAGCGCAACCCCUACGUUUAGUUGCUAACGCGUGAAGGCGAGCACUCUAGACGAACUGCCGUUGACAAAACGGAGGAAGGUGGGAUGACGUCAAAUCAUCAUGCCCCUUAUGUUCUGGGCUACACACGUGCUACAAUGGCCGGUACAGACGGACGCAAAGCCGCGAGGUGGAGCAAAUCCUAAAAAAGCCGGUCUCAGUUCGGAUUGCAGGCUGCAAUUCGCCUGCAUGAAGUCGGAAUCGCUAGUAAUCGCAGGUCAGCAUACUGCGGUGAAUACGUUCCCGGGCCUU